RNAcentral lists this ribosomal RNA (468 nucleotides) under uncultured bacterium. RNAcentral describes it as "partial 16S ribosomal RNA". It matches the Rfam family "Bacterial small subunit ribosomal RNA", at positions 28 to 507 of the family's 1533-position model. The record is from RNAcentral.
GACGAACGCUGGCGGCGUGCUUAACACAUGCAAGUCGAACGGAAAGGCCCUGCUUUUGUGGGGUGCUCGAGUGGCGAACGGGUGAGUAACACGUGAGUAACCUGCCCUUGACUUUGGGAUAACUUCAGGAAACUGGGGCUAAUACCGGAUAGGAGCUCCUGCUGCAUGGUGGGGGUUGGAAAGUUUCGGCGGGUGGGGAUGGACUGGCGGCUUAUCAGCUUGUUGGUGGGGUAGUGGCUGACCAAGGCUUUGAAGGGUCGCCGGCCUGGGAGGGUGACCGGGGACAUUGGGACUAAGAGACGGACCAGACGCGUAUGGGGGACAGCAGGGGGGAGUCUUGUCCAAUGGUAGGAAGCCUGAUGCAGAAACGCCGCGUGCGGGAUGACGGCCUUCGGGUUGUAAACCGCUUUCGCCUGUGACGAAGCGUGAGUGACGGUAAUGGAUAAAGAAGCACCGGCUAACUACGUG